UGUUGGCUGCCAUGGCCAGCUGCGUCGAGGGAGGUGAUUGGUAGAUGGAUGGGGUCGUUAUCAUUCUUAUCAAUAAUGGUUGUGGGAGGUGGUUGGGGAACGCCCGCCCCAUCGGCAGCCACACGCCACUUCAACUGCCACUGCUCGGCCAGCGUCCCGGCAAAUGUGCCCGCCGCCAGGGCCGUUGGAGCGAAAAAUGCACGCAAACCACACCAGCGUCAUGGAGGCCGUUG
Molecule: microRNA precursor, 233 nt
Filed under: Chlamydomonas reinhardtii
Lineage: Eukaryota; Viridiplantae; Chlorophyta; Chlorophyceae; Chlamydomonadales; Chlamydomonadaceae
Source: RNAcentral